This 107-nucleotide small nucleolar RNA is filed under the name Helianthus annuus (common sunflower). Its description in RNAcentral is "Plant small nucleolar RNA R71". It matches the Rfam family "Plant small nucleolar RNA R71". Rfam says of the family: R71 is a member of the C/D box family of snoRNAs containing the C (UGAUGA) and D (CUGA) box motifs. Multiple nearly identical copies of this snoRNA have been identified in Arabidopsis, and it is thought to function as a 2'-O-ribose methylation guide for 18S ribosomal RNA. Lineage: Eukaryota; Viridiplantae; Streptophyta; Magnoliopsida; Asterales; Asteraceae. The record is from RNAcentral.
AGACCAUGAUGUGGGCAUUUCCUUAAUAGUCCUUGAACCUUUACCAUGUCUCGUACAAGGAUUCCCCGUCCUUCUUGAGAGUAGGUGUUAAUCUCGGUCAUGAGUUU